GAUGAACGCUGGCGGCGUGCCUAAUACAUGCAAGUCGAGCGAACAGACGAGGAGCUUGCUCCUCUGACGUUAGCGGCGGACGGGUGAGUAACACGUGGAUAACCUACCUAUAAGACUGGGAUAACUUCGGGAAACCGGAGCUAAUACCGGAUAAUAUAUUGAACCGCAUGGUUCAAUAGUGAAAGACGGUUUUGCUGUCACUUAUAGAUGGAUCCGCGCCGCAUUAGCUAGUUGGUAAGGUAACGGCUUACCAAGGCAACGAUGCGUAGCCGACCUGAGAGGGUGAUCGGCCACACUGGAACUGAGACACGGUCCAGACUCCUACGGGAGGCAGCAGUAGGGAAUCUUGCGCGAUGGGCGAAAGCCUGACGGAGCAACGCCGCGUGAGUGAUGAAGGUCUUCGGAUCGUAAAACUCUGUUAUUAGGGAAGAACAAAUGUGUAAGUAACUAUGCACGUCUUGACGGUACCUAAUCAGAAAGCCACGGCUAACUACGUG
RNAcentral lists this ribosomal RNA (497 nucleotides) under uncultured bacterium. RNAcentral describes it as "partial 16S ribosomal RNA". It matches the Rfam family "Bacterial small subunit ribosomal RNA", at positions 28 to 507 of the family's 1533-position model. The record is from RNAcentral.